This 333-nucleotide unclassified non-coding RNA is filed under the name soil metagenome. Its description in RNAcentral is "partial contains 5.8S ribosomal RNA, internal transcribed spacer 2, and large subunit ribosomal RNA". The stretch from base 1 to 120 matches the Rfam family "5.8S ribosomal RNA", at positions 35 to 154 of the family's 154-position model. The record is from RNAcentral.
GAUGAAGAACGUAGCGAAAUGCGAUAAGUAAUGUGAAUUGCAGAAUUCAGUGAAUCAUCGAAUCUUUGAACGCACAUUGCGCCCCCCAGUAUUCUGGCGGGCAUGCCUGUUCGAGCGUCAUUUCAACCAUCAAGCCCUGCUUGUGUUGGGGUCCUGCGGCUGCCCGCAGGCCCUGAAAACCAGUGGCGGGCUCGCUAGUCACACCGAGCGCAGUAGCACAUCUCGCUCAGGGCGUGCGGCGGGCUCCAGCCGUUAAAGCACCCACCUUUCGCAAGGUUGACCUCGGAUCAGGUAGGAAUACCCGCUGAACUUAAGCAUAUCAAUAAGCGGAGA